This 264-nucleotide ribosomal RNA is filed under the name uncultured bacterium. Its description in RNAcentral is "partial 16S ribosomal RNA". It matches the Rfam family "Bacterial small subunit ribosomal RNA", at positions 793 to 1055 of the family's 1533-position model. The record is from RNAcentral.
GUCCACGCCGUAAACGAUGAGUGCUUGGUGUAGCGGGUAUCGACCCCUGCUGUGCCGAAGUCAACACAUUAAGCACUCCGCCUGGGGAGUACGGUCGCAAGACUGAAACUCAAAGGAAUUGACGGGGGCCCGCACAAGCGGUGGAGCAUGUGGUUUAAUUCGAAGCAACGCGCAGAACCUUACCUGGGUUUGAACUGUACAGGAAAGUCUCAGAGAUGAGAGCCCCUUUCGGAGGUCUGUAUAGAGGUGCUGCAUGGCUGUCGU